ACGCUGAAGGAGGAGCUUGCUCUUCUGGAUGAGUUGCGAACGGGUGAGUAACGCGUAGGUAACCUGCCUGGUAGCGGGGGAUAACUAUUGGAAACGAUAGCUAAUACCGCAUAAUAGUAGAUGUUGCAUGACAUUUGCUUAAAAGGUGCAAUUGCAUCACUACCAGAUGGACCUGCGUUGUAUUAGCUAGUUGGUGGGGUAACGGCUCACCAAGGCGACGAUACAUAGCCGACCUGAGAGGGUGAUCGGCCACACUGGGACUGAGACACGGCCCAGACUCCUACGGGAGGCAGCAGUAGGGAAUCUUCGGCAAUGGACGGAAGUCUGACCGAGCAACGCCGCGUGAGUGAAGAAGGUUUUCGGAUCGUAAAGCUCUGUUGUAAGAGAAGAACGAGUGUGAGAGUGGAAAGUUCACACUGUGACGGUAUCUUACCAGAAAGGGACGGCUAACUACGUGCCAGCAGCCGCGGUAAUACGUAGGUCCCGAGCGUUGUCCGGAUUUAUUGGGCGUAAAGCGAGCGCAGGCGGUUAGAUAAGUCUGAAGUUAAAGGCUGUGGCUUAACCAUAGUACGCUUUGGAAACUGUUUAACUUGAGUGCAAGAGGGGAGAGUGGAAUUCCAUGUGUAGCGGUGAAAUGCGUAGAUAUAUGGAGGAACACCGGUGGC
Molecule: ribosomal RNA, 665 nt
Filed under: uncultured Bacilli bacterium
Lineage: Bacteria; Bacillati; Bacillota; Bacilli
Description: bacterial SSU rRNA
Rfam family: Bacterial small subunit ribosomal RNA
Source: RNAcentral